This 477-nucleotide ribosomal RNA is filed under the name Comamonadaceae bacterium. RNAcentral's name for it is "bacterial SSU rRNA". It matches the Rfam family "Bacterial small subunit ribosomal RNA", at positions 391 to 861 of the family's 1533-position model. The record is from RNAcentral. Lineage: Bacteria; Pseudomonadati; Pseudomonadota; Betaproteobacteria; Burkholderiales; Comamonadaceae.
GCAAUGCCGCGUGCAGGACGAAGGCCUUCGGGUUGUAAACUGCUUUUGUACGGAACGAAACGGCUCUCUCUAAUACAGGGGGCUAAUGACGGUACCGUAAGAAUAAGCACCGGCUAACUACGUGCCAGCAGCCGCGGUAAUACGUAGGGUGCGAGCGUUAAUCGGAAUUACUGGGCGUAAAGCGUGCGCAGGCGGUUUUGUAAGACAGAUGUGAAAUCCCCGGGCUCAACCUGGGACCUGCAUUUGUGACUGCAAAGCUAGAGUACGGCAGAGGGGGAUGGAAUUCCGCGUGUAGCAGUGAAAUGCGUAGAUAUGCGGAGGAACACCGAUGGCGAAGGCAAUCCCCUGGGCCUGUACUGACGCUCAUGCACGAAAGCGUGGGGAGCAAACAGGAUUAGAUACCCUGGUAGUCCACGCCCUAAACGAUGUCAACUGGUUGUUGGGUCUUCACUGACUCAGUAACGAAGCUAACGCGUG